This is a long non-coding RNA of Perca fluviatilis (European perch), 1330 nucleotides long. RefSeq lists it as uncharacterized. The record is from RefSeq and is a predicted model, not a curated record. Lineage: Eukaryota; Metazoa; Chordata; Actinopteri; Perciformes; Percidae. The transcript is spliced from 2 exons.
AUUUCCUGCAUCCCCCGAAAUCUCCACCUAUGAAUUUAAUAGCUGGUUUGGUGCCUAACGGCAGCCAAACUAACCGUUGGCCGGGUAGAAAUCAGCUUCCACAGACUGAUAACGUUAAAAAUACUUAGUUACCGACUUUACUUCGCCCAAAAUCUCGUACCCCCCCCCCCAUCGGCGACAUUUGUAUUUAAUACCAGCAGCCUUUUCCGGGAUCAUUUCCGUGUAACUGUUAGGAAAAACGUGAAAGAAUUGAACCGUAGAGGACGUUAAACCGUCUCCGCUUUGUUUUGAUUUUUCUUCUAGACUGUCGCGGAAUACUGCGCAUGCGCUGUGGGGGGAAAAUGCUCUUAAAUGGGCCCGCAGUUAGCUCCCAGGCUAACGGGCUGCAGAGAACAGUUAGCCAGGUAACUGUCUGCUGGCAUUAUGCUGUUUAGAUCAACACUACAGAGCCAACAAAGACGCUUUUAAUGGAUCGUCCUGCAGAGCAGCAGACGAGCCCCGUAGCUCGGUGAGAUUUCGGGGAGAGCUGAGGAUGUUUCCGGCUCCACGUGUGCCUGAAGAGAAAGAGCUCUUUGUUUGGACGACGUGUGGUGCUGACCCAGUUAAUCUGCACAGGAAACUCCAGCCACAAUACCAGCACAGGACGACGAAGAAACACACACACAUAUCCAGUUUUCAUUCAUCCUGCAUGUCAAGAUGUUAAACAGUUGCAUCAGAAAAGGUUUUAGAUAGAUAGAUAGAUAGAUAGAUAGAUAGAUAGAUAGAUGGAUAGAUGGAUGAGUAGAUGGAGAGAUACAUUACAGGUUCCAGUAGUUUAAAGACAUCACACACAACAUACACAUAGAUCAUAAACAGGAUGAUAAAAUAAGAAAUCCACAUGAAUAAUAUGGACAAUAAAAGACAAGAAAAGAUACUGAAUAAAAGGUCAGGUGCUCUAUGAGAGUGUGUUGUGGUAGUGCACAACAGUAAUAUAAAAACUCUAGCAGAGCAAGGAUAAAGUUUAAAGAAAGAGCAUUAAAUAUGGUUAUUAUAAGAGAAUAAAGUAGACUGUAGGAUAGACACAAAUCAACAGUCACUGUUGGAGGUUUGCAGUGAUAGUGUUACAGCCAUUGUCCAUUGUUUGUUGCUACAGUAAGUUACCCUAACGUGGAAUUGGCCUUGGUGAUUGUUGCAUACAUAACAUGUUAAACAUUAAUGACAUAAACAAAUAUACAUACAGUUAGGCCGGCUACACACUGGCUGCGUGGCGUUUCCUUUUUUUCCAAUUAUCUUUUUAUUAAUUUUUUACAUUUUAGUAACAUAAAGAGAACAAAAGAAAGAUAAAAUAAUA